UUAAUUAGGCUUAAUAGAUUCAUCUCGCGAAUUAGCAUAGGUUCUGCAAUUAGUUUUAUAAUUAGCUCAUGUUUAGUCCUCCUAAUUAACAUCCGAUGUGAUACUGCUAAAGUUUAGCACCUAGGUAUCCAAACACCCCCGUAGUUGAAGUGGGGUUAGUGUACGUUAAACCAUGAUGGGCCUAGGAGACUUCAUCAUUCUACACUCAAGAAGCAGAAAGGUGACUGUUGCCCCCCACGACUUGUUGGAUGCAGAUUGGUUUGGUGUUUGCUUUCGGAUCAGAUAGGCACCGAGGUAUUUUCCGCAUCCAGGAGUGUGUGCACCGCAUUCGUGGGAACGGUGGAGAAGAAAGGCCAUGAAGCGGCUCCCAAGUAUCUAUGACGAUGCUGUCGACGUCCACAGGGCCUUGUGCAGGUCGUCUUCUGCAGUUCUACCCAACCUUGGUCUAUGUGAGCUCCGGCUUUAUGAACGCAUGGAGACACCCCCACGGCACAUGACCGGUUGGAGCAAUUGGCCUGUAGCUUGCCAUGAUGUGCAGACUUUCAAUCAGUUCAUGAUGGCCUCCAUGCGCGUGAAGGUAAUGUGCUCGUGGAAAUUCUCCUAGAGCAAUGUCUGGAUUAAGCCACAACUAGAUGGAUUGUCAAAUGUCAUUAUGUUGUGUGAACUAUGCAAGCGUUUUCUGAAACAUUACAUGUGCGGUAGUACAAUUAAAUAUGGUAAUAGAAUGAUGCUCGUUUUAUGAUUUACAUGGAUGGAUUUCAAGAUGAAUUUAACAAUUGUACUGC
Molecule: long non-coding RNA, 785 nt
Organism: Setaria italica (foxtail millet)
Lineage: Eukaryota; Viridiplantae; Streptophyta; Magnoliopsida; Poales; Poaceae
Exons: 2
Source: RefSeq, a predicted model, not a curated record